Molecule: ribosomal RNA, 478 nt
Filed under: uncultured organism
Description: bacterial SSU rRNA
Rfam family: Bacterial small subunit ribosomal RNA
Source: RNAcentral
GAUGAACGCUAGCGGCAGGCUUAACACAUGCAAGUCGAGGGGUAUAGUUCUUCGGAGCUAGAGACCGGCGCACGGGUGCGUAACGCGUAUGCAAUCUACCUUUCACAGAGGGAUAGCCCAGAGAAAUUUGGAUUAAUACCUCAUAGUAUUACAGGAUGGCAUCAUCUGGUAAUUAAAGUCACAACGGUGAAAGAUGAGCAUGCGUCCCAUUAGCUAGUUGGUAAGGUAACGGCUUACCAAGGCUACGAUGGGUAGGGGUCCUGAGAGGGAGAUCCCCCACACUGGUACUGAGACACGGACCAGACUCCUACGGGAGGCAGCAGUGAGGAAUAUUGGUCAAUGGACGCAAGUCUGAACCAGCCAUGCCGCGUGCAGGAUGACGGUCCUAUGGAUUGUAAACUGCUUUUGUACGAGAAGAAACACUCCUUCGUGAAGGAGCUUGACGGUAUCGUAAGAAUAAGGAUCGGCUAACUCCGUG